CAGCAGCCGCGGUAAUACGAGGGGGGCAAGCGUUGUUCGGAAUUAUUGGGCGUAAAGGGCUCGCAGGCGGUUUCUUAAGUCUGAUGUGAAAGCCUCCGGCUCAACCGGGGAGGGUCAUUGGAAACUGGGAAACUUGAGUGCAGAAGAGGAGAGUGGAAUUCCACGUGUAGCGGUGAAAUGCGUAGAGAUGUGGAGGAACACCAGUGGCGAAGGCGACUCUCUGGUCUGUAACUGACGCUGAGGAGCGAAAGCGUGGGGAGCGAACAGGAUUAGAUACCCCAGUAGUCCCUGUCUCUUAUAC
Molecule: ribosomal RNA, 301 nt
Filed under: uncultured bacterium
Lineage: Bacteria
Description: partial 16S ribosomal RNA
Rfam family: Bacterial small subunit ribosomal RNA
Source: RNAcentral